This is a long non-coding RNA of Cyprinodon variegatus (sheepshead minnow), 306 nucleotides long. RefSeq lists it as uncharacterized. The transcript is spliced from 3 exons. The record is from RefSeq and is a predicted model, not a curated record. Lineage: Eukaryota; Metazoa; Chordata; Actinopteri; Cyprinodontiformes; Cyprinodontidae.
UUUCAGAGAAAACCACCACUCCUGCUCCUCCAAAGACACCUCUUCACGUCAUCUUGUUGCCUUGUAUAUUUCUAUUUGUUGUUGUGUUUCUACUGGUUUCGCUGGUUCUACUGGUGAAAAAACAUUGCCAGAAGUCAAAAGAUCAGAGAGGAGAUGACAUCACAUACAGUGACAUCCAAAUAACUCAGCUACAGCAGCAGAAAGUUAAACCCAGCAGAGAGCAUUUAGCAACUUCAAUCUACACAGAUGUGAGAACAGAGGAACUCAGCUAUGGACAAAUCAACAUCAGAAAACAAAGAACUAGAG